RNAcentral lists this ribosomal RNA (377 nucleotides) under uncultured organism. Its description in RNAcentral is "partial 16S ribosomal RNA". It matches the Rfam family "Bacterial small subunit ribosomal RNA", at positions 527 to 897 of the family's 1533-position model. The record is from RNAcentral.
GUAGGUGGCAAGCGUUAUCCGGAAUUACUGGGGCGUAAAGGGGCACGCAGGCGGCCAUGAAAGUCUGACGUGAAAGCUCCUGGGCUUAACUGGGGAGAGGUCGUUGGAAACUGGAUGGCUUGAGGCAAUGAGAGGGGUGCGGAAUUCCCGGUGUAGUGGUGGAAUGCGUAGAUAUCGGGAGGAACACCAGUGGCGAAGGCGGCACCCUAGCAUUGACCUGACGCUCAUGUGCGAAAGCGUGGGGAGCAAACGGGAUUAGAUACCCCGGUAGUCCACGCUGUAAACGAUGAGCACUAGGUGUGGGUAGUGUUAAAGCUAUCUGUGCCGAAGCAAACGCGAUAAGUGCUCCGCCUGGGGAGUACGGCCGCAAAGGCUAA